GGGUUGUGAGGUUAAGCGACUAAGCGUACACGGUGGAUGCCCUGGCAGUCAGAGGCGAUGAAGGACGUGCUAAUCUGCGAUAAGCGUCGGUAAGGUGAUAUGAACCGUUAUAACCGGCGAUUUCCGAAUGGGGAAACCCAGUGUGUUUCGACACACUAUCAUUAACUGAAUCCAUAGGUUAAUGAGGCGAACCGGGGGAACUGAAACAUCUAAGUACCCCGAGGAAAAGAAAUCAACCGAGAUUCCCCCAGUAGCGGCGAGCGAACGGGGAGCAGCCCAGAGCCUGAAUCAGUGUGUGUGUUAGUGGAAGCGUCUGGAAAGGCGCGCGAUACAGGGUGACAGCCCCGUACACAAAAAUGCACAUACUGUGAGCUCGAUGAGUAGGGCGGGACACGUGGUAUCCUGUCUGAAUAUGGGGGGACCAUCCUCCAAGGCUAAAUACUCCUGACUGACCGAUAGUGAACCAGUACCGUGAGGGAAAGGCGAAAAGAACCCCGGCGAGGGGAGUGAAAAAGAACCUGAAACCGUGUACGUACAAGCAGUGGGAGCACGCUUCGGCGUGUGACUGCGUACCUUUUGUAUAAUGGGUCAGCGACUUAUAUUCUGUAGCAAGGUUAACCGAAUAGGGGAGCCGAAGGGAAACCGAGUCUUAACUGGGCGUUAAGUUGCAGGGUAUAGACCCGAAACCCGGUGAUCUAGCCAUGGGCAGGUUGAAGGUUGGGUAACACUAACUGGAGGACCGAACCGACUAAUGUUGAAAAAUUAGCGGAUGACUUGUGGCUGGGGGUGAAAGGCCAAUCAAACCGGGAGAUAGCUGGUUCUCCCCGAAAGCUAUUUAGGUAGCGCCUCGUGAACUCAUCUUCGGGGUAGAGCACUGUUUCGGCAAGGGGGUCAUCCCGACUUACCAACCCGAUGCAAACUGCGAAUACCGGAGAAUGUUAUCACGGGAGACACACGGCGGGUGCUAACGUCCGUCGUGAAGAGGGAAACAACCCAGACCGCCAGCUAAGGUCCCAAAGUCAUGGUUAAGUGGGAAACGAUGUGGGAAGGCCCAGACAGCCAGGAUGUUGGCUUAGAAGCAGCCAUCAUUUAAAGAAAGCGUAAUAGCUCACUGGUCGAGUCGGCCUGCGCGGAAGAUGUAACGGGGCUAAACCAUGCACCGAAGCUGCGGCAGCGACACUAUGUGUUGUUGGGUAGGGGAGCGUUCUGUAAGCCUGUGAAGGUGUGCUGUGAGGCAUGCUGGAGGUAUCAGAAGUGCGAAUGCUGACAUAAGUAACGAUAAAGCGGGUGAAAAGCCCGCUCGCCGGAAGACCAAGGGUUCCUGUCCAACGUUAAUCGGGGCAGGGUGAGUCGACCCCUAAGGCGAGGCCGAAAGGCGUAGUCGAUGGGAAACAGGUUAAUAUUCCUGUACUUGGUGUUACUGCGAAGGGGGACGGAGAAGGCUAUGUUGGCCGGGCGACGGUUGUCCCGGUUUAAGCGUGUAGGCUGGUUUUCCAGGCAAAUCCGGAAAAUCAAGGCUGAGGCGUGAUGACGAGGCACUACGGUGCUGAAGCAACAAAUGCCCUGCUUCCAGGAAAAGCCUCUAAGCAUCAGGUAACAUUAAAUCGUACCCCAAACCGACACAGGUGGUCAGGUAGAGAAUACCAAGGCGCUUGAGAGAACUCGGGUGAAGGAACUAGGCAAAAUGGUGCCGUAACUUCGGGAGAAGGCACGCUGAUAUGUAGGUGAAGUCCCUCGCGGAUGGAGCUGAAAUCAGUCGAAGAUACCAGCUGGCUGCAACUGUUUAUUAAAAACACAGCACUGUGCAAACACGAAAGUGGACGUAUACGGUGUGACGCCUGCCCGGUGCCGGAAGGUUAAUUGAUGGGGUUAGCGGUAACGCGAAGCUCUUGAUCGAAGCCCCGGUAAACGGCGGCCGUAACUAUAACGGUCCUAAGGUAGCGAAAUUCCUUGUCGGGUAAGUUCCGACCUGCACGAAUGGCGUAAUGAUGGCCAGGCUGUCUCCACCCGAGACUCAGUGAAAUUGAACUCGCUGUGAAGAUGCAGUGUACCCGCGGCAAGACGGAAAGACCCCGUGAACCUUUACUAUAGCUUGACACUGAACAUUGAGCCUUGAUGUGUAGGAUAGGUGGGAGGCUUUGAAGUGUGGACGCCAGUCUGCAUGGAGCCGACCUUGAAAUACCACCCUUUAAUGUUUGAUGUUCUAACGUUGACCCGUAAUCCGGGUUGCGGACAGUGUCUGGUGGGUAGUUUGACUGGGGCGGUCUCCUCCUAAAGAGUAACGGAGGAGCACGAAGGUUGGCUAAUCCUGGUCGGACAUCAGGAGGUUAGUGCAAUGGCAUAAGCCAGCUUGACUGCGAGCGUGACGGCGCGAGCAGGUGCGAAAGCAGGUCAUAGUGAUCCGGUGGUUCUGAAUGGAAGGGCCAUCGCUCAACGGAUAAAAGGUACUCCGGGGAUAACAGGCUGAUACCGCCCAAGAGUUCAUAUCGACGGCGGUGUUUGGCACCUCGAUGUCGGCUCAUCACAUCCUGGGGCUGAAGUAGGUCCCAAGGGUAUGGCUGUUCGCCAUUUAAAGUGGUACGCGAGCUGGGUUUAGAACGUCGUGAGACAGUUCGGUCCCUAUCUGCCGUGGGCGCUGGAGAACUGAGGGGGGCUGCUCCUAGUACGAGAGGACCGGAGUGGACGCAUCACUGGUGUUCGGGUUGUCAUGCCAAUGGCACUGCCCGGUAGCUAAAUGCGGAAGAGAUAAGUGCUGAAAGCAUCUAAGCACGAAACUUGCCCCGAGAUGAGUUCUCCCUGACCCUUUAAGGGUCCUGAAGGAACGUUGAAGACGACGACGUUGAUAGGCCGGGUGUGUAAGCGCAGCGAUGCGUUGAGCUAACCGGUACUAAUGAACCGUGAGGCUUAACCUUACAACGCCGAAGCUGUU
Molecule: ribosomal RNA, 2929 nt
Filed under: Escherichia coli O145
Lineage: Bacteria; Pseudomonadati; Pseudomonadota; Gammaproteobacteria; Enterobacterales; Enterobacteriaceae
Description: 23S ribosomal RNA
Rfam family: Bacterial large subunit ribosomal RNA
Source: RNAcentral